AAUAUUAGGUUUAUAUUAUAAUUCAAGGCUUAUCAAUGUUGUGUAGGUUUGGCUGCUUGCCCAAGAUGUCUGUGCUAAAGUUUCUGCCAUUGCGGAUUUCUCGGGAUAAGACAAACAGAAUGAGUAAUGCUGUUCAUAUUCGAGCUCAAAUUGAGAGAGUUGGGGAAGAUGCUCUUCUCUAGGAGGCAGUGAAGAACGUUCUUCUGCAGAUUGUACAAGUGCUAACAGCAGACAUCAGGUUUCAUCCCUUUCCCAUUCUGUUGAUUGUUUGAGCUGCAUGAAUCUGACUCGUUAUGUUAAGAGGUAUCAUUGGUCAGGAUGGGAAAUGGAAUGCAGUUGCCAUCCCCUAGCUUUGACUUGCAUAUUCAAGGUGGAUAUGGAUGACUUUGAAGGCACUUGCAAUGCCCUUUGAGAAGUGCAAGUCAUCAGAUUUGCUAGCGGAGAAGAAGAAAGCUCUGGUUGGUCCAAAGAAGUCAAAGCAUGACAAGUUGGAUAAAUUAGUGGCCUUAAGUCAGCGUCUACGUCUGCACAUAUUCUGAAACAGGUGAACCAUUGAAGACAUCAUUCUUCGUGACCAACUCUGUACAGUAUAAUGUGUUCCUAACUGUAAUUCUUUCUCAUUUUUCUUCUGUUUUUGUUUCGUAUUUUCUCUGCUGUAGGUCU
Molecule: long non-coding RNA, 663 nt
Organism: Telopea speciosissima
Lineage: Eukaryota; Viridiplantae; Streptophyta; Magnoliopsida; Proteales; Proteaceae
Exons: 2
Source: RefSeq, a predicted model, not a curated record